AUUGAACGCUGGCGGCAGGCCUAACACAUGCAAGUCGAGCGGAUGAAGGGAGCUUGCUCCUGGAUUCAGCGGCGGACGGGUGAGUAAUGCCUAGGAAUCUGCCUGGUAGUGGGGGAUAACGUCCGGAAACGGGCGCUAAUACCGCAUACGUCCUGAGGGAGAAAGUGGGGGAUCUUCGGACCUCACGCUAUCAGAUGAGCCUAGGUCGGAUUAGCUAGUUGGUGGGGUAAAGGCCUACCAAGGCGACGAUCCGUAACUGGUCUGAGAGGAUGAUCAGUCACACUGGAACUGAGACACGGUCCAGACUCCUACGGGAGGCAGCAGUGGGGAAUAUUGGACAAAGGGCGAAAGCCUGAUCCAGCCAUGCCUCGUGUGUGAAGAAGGUCUUCGGAUUGUAAAGCACUUUAAGUUGGGAGGAAGGGCAGUAAGUUAAUACCUUGCUGUUUUGACGUUACCAACAGAAUAAGCACCGGCUAACUUCGUG
RNAcentral lists this ribosomal RNA (484 nucleotides) under uncultured bacterium. RNAcentral's name for it is "partial 16S ribosomal RNA". It matches the Rfam family "Bacterial small subunit ribosomal RNA", at positions 30 to 507 of the family's 1533-position model. The record is from RNAcentral.